Molecule: ribosomal RNA, 253 nt
Filed under: uncultured bacterium
Lineage: Bacteria
Description: partial 16S ribosomal RNA
Rfam family: Bacterial small subunit ribosomal RNA
Source: RNAcentral
UACAGAGGGGGCAAGCGUUAUUCGGAAUUAUUGGGCGUAAAGGGCGCGUAGGCGGCCUGGCAAGUGGAAGGUGAAAUCCCUCGGCUUAACCGAGGAACUGCCCUCCAAACUGCUUGGCUUGAGUCCGGGAGAGGUGAGUGGAAUCCCCAGUGUAGCGGUGAAAUGCGUAGAUAUUGGGAGGAACACCAGUGGCGGAGGCGGCUCACUGGACCGGAACUGACGCUGAGGCGCGAAAGCGUGGGGAGCAAACGGG